AUUGAACGCUGGCGGCAGGCUUAACACAUGCAAGUCGAGCGGUAGCACAGGGGAGCUUGCUCCCUGGGUGACGAGCGGCAGACGGGUGAGUAAUGUCUGGGAAACUGCCUGAUGGAGGGGGAUAACUACUGGAAACGGUAGCUAAUACCGCAUAACGUCGCAAGACCAAAGAGGGGGACCUUCGGGCCUCUUGCCAUCAGAUGUGCCCAGAUGGGAUUAGCUAGUAGGUGGGGUAAUGGCUCACCUAGGCGACGAUCCCUAGCUGGUCUGAGAGGAUGACCAGCCACACUGGAACUGAGACACGGUCCAGACUCCUACGGGAGGCAGCAGUGGGGAAUAUUGCACAAUGGGCGCAAGCCUGAUGCAGCCAUGCCGCGUGUGUGAAGAAGGCCUUCGGGUUGUAAAGCACUUUCAGCGAGGAGGAAGGUGGUGAGCUUAAUACGUUCAUCAAUUGACGUUACUCGCAGAAGAAGCACCGGCUAACUCCGUG
This 490-nucleotide ribosomal RNA is filed under the name uncultured bacterium. RNAcentral's name for it is "partial 16S ribosomal RNA". It matches the Rfam family "Bacterial small subunit ribosomal RNA", at positions 30 to 507 of the family's 1533-position model. The record is from RNAcentral.